This 322-nucleotide unclassified non-coding RNA is filed under the name uncultured Ascomycota. RNAcentral describes it as "sequence contains ITS1". The stretch from base 1 to 105 matches the Rfam family "5.8S ribosomal RNA", at positions 50 to 154 of the family's 154-position model. The record is from RNAcentral. Lineage: Eukaryota; Fungi; Ascomycota.
GAAAUGCGAUAAGUAAUGUGAAUUGCAGAAUUCAGUGAAUCAUCGAAUCUUUGAACGCACAUUGCGCCCUUUGGUAUUCCGAAGGGCAUGCCUGUUCGAGCGUCAUUUAAACUCUCAAGCUUUGCUUGGUAUUGAGUGAGAUCUCAAAAAAGAUCUACUCGAAACUUGUUGGACUUUUCUAGGCUCACCUUGAAAUGAUUAGUGCUUGUGUAGUCUUACAAGUAGCGGAGUAGAAUCUGCUUCCUUGGGGGCGUCACGGCACUGUAAACCACUUUUUCUUAUUUUUGACCUCGGAUCAGAUAGGGAUACCCGCUGAACUUAA